UCAUGGGCGCGAGCCUGAACCAGCCAAGUAGCGUGAAGGAUGAAGGCUCUAUGCCNUCGUAAACUUCUUUUAUAUGGGAAUAAAGUAUUCCACGUGUGGAAUUUUGUAUGUACCAUAUGAAUAAGGAUCGGCUAACUCCGUGCCAGCAGCCGCGGUAAUACGGAGGAUCCGAGCGUUAUCCGGAUUUAUUGGGUUUAAAGGGAGCGUAGGUGGAUUGUUAAGUCAGUUGUGAAAGUUUGCGGCUCAACCGUAAAAUUGCAGUUGAAACUGGCAGUCUUGAGUACAGUAGAGGUGGGCGGAAUUCGUGGUGUAGCGGUGAAAUGCUUAGAUAUCACGAAGAACUCCGAUUGCGAAGGCAGCUCACUAGACUGUUACUGACACUGAUGCUCGAAAGUGUGGGUAUCAAACAGGAUUAGAUACCCUGGUAGUCCAAGGGCGAAUUC
Molecule: ribosomal RNA, 443 nt
Filed under: uncultured bacterium
Lineage: Bacteria
Description: SSU rRNA
Rfam family: Bacterial small subunit ribosomal RNA
Source: RNAcentral